UGAAAUGGAAUCUGAAUACAAACCCAAAC
Molecule: small RNA, 29 nt
Filed under: Bombyx mori (domestic silkworm)
Lineage: Eukaryota; Metazoa; Arthropoda; Insecta; Lepidoptera; Bombycidae
Description: ovarian small RNA-30611
Source: RNAcentral